RNAcentral lists this ribosomal RNA (113 nucleotides) under Acanthosepion pharaonis. Lineage: Eukaryota; Metazoa; Mollusca; Cephalopoda; Sepiida; Sepiidae. The record is from RNAcentral.
UUACGGUCAAAUCACGCUGAAACACCGGUUCUCGUACGAUCACCGAAGUUAAGCAGCGUAGAGCCAGGUCAGUACUUAGAUGGGGGACCACUUGGGAACACCUGGUACUGUAA